CAGUAGCCGCGGGAAUACGUAGGGUGCAAGCGUUAAUCGGAAUUACUGGGCGUAAAGCGUGCGCAGGCGGUUUGUUAAGACAGAUGUGAAAUCCCCGGGCUCAACCUGGGAACUGCAUUUGUGACUGGCAAGCUAGAGUCUGGCAGAGGGGGGUGGAAUUCCGCGUGUAGCAGUGAAAUGCGUAGAUAUGCGGAGGAACACCGAUGGCGAAGGCAGCCCCCUGGGCCAACACUGACGCUCAUGCACGAAAGCGUGGGGAGCAAACAGGAUUAGAUACCCCAGUAGUCCCUGUCUCUUAUAC
Molecule: ribosomal RNA, 301 nt
Filed under: uncultured bacterium
Lineage: Bacteria
Description: partial 16S ribosomal RNA
Rfam family: Bacterial small subunit ribosomal RNA
Source: RNAcentral